Molecule: transfer RNA, 69 nt
Filed under: Peniagone sp. YYH-2013
Lineage: Eukaryota; Metazoa; Echinodermata; Holothuroidea; Elasipodida; Elpidiidae
Description: tRNA-Leu
Rfam family: tRNA
About the family: Transfer RNA (tRNA) molecules are approximately 80 nucleotides in length. Their secondary structure includes four short double-helical elements and three loops (D, anti-codon, and T loops).
Source: RNAcentral
AUUUAAGUAGCAAAGAAGAUAAUGCGAUAGAUUUAGGUUCUAUUAACGGAGAAAAAUUUCCCUUAAAUU